This is a long non-coding RNA of Arabidopsis thaliana (thale cress), 233 nucleotides long. RefSeq annotates it as other RNA. The transcript has a single exon. NCBI's taxonomy places the organism in Eukaryota, Viridiplantae, Streptophyta, Magnoliopsida, Brassicales, Brassicaceae. The record is from RefSeq.
GUGGCAUCAUCUCAUUGCAUCUCGCCAUAACGGUGCACUUGCGUGAGGAGGAGAUCACAAAAGUAGUAUAAGAAGUAUGAGAGGGCAUAGAGAGAGGGUAUCCAGAAUCUGGUGAAAGUGUACGGGGGAGGGGAGAGACUCCAUUGUAAAACUCUCAAUUUUGUAUUCCUUUCAAUAUUAAUACAAGUAUAUGCCUAUUACAUUGUUUGAUCCCUAGUUUACUGCUCUAAUCG